Gallus gallus (chicken) is the source of this 1665-nucleotide long non-coding RNA. The record is from Ensembl. NCBI's taxonomy places the organism in Eukaryota, Metazoa, Chordata, Aves, Galliformes, Phasianidae.
UGCUGGGUUGGACUGUGCUAACCCUUGCACCAGGUCUUGCUGCUUGCCCGUAAGUGUGGUUUGUGGUCAGUGCUGCUUCUGGCCAGGAGCUGUGAUGCUGCUGCAGGGAGGGUUCUGUCCCCGCAUCCAGGCACUGUUGCAGGCCGGGCUGUGGCUGGGGGGCCACUGAACAAGCAGGAGUGGAACAGUUUUCAACAGGCCUGGAGAUGUGGAGAGCAGGAAGUCCGUGCACUUCCCUCAGCAGCGCUGCAGGCCGCUCUGUCCCAAUGUGUGCAGCAGUGGGACCACUGGGAGCUGCUCCGGGGAGCUGCCCUCAAAAAGCGUGCUCUGUUCAUCUGCUUGCUGCUGUGGAAAGCUCUGACUUUCAGCCUGGUUUUCCAUACAGUCAGCUCACCUUGCUGCCCUGUACUUCCCUGUGAGACCUUGCUCCCGGAAAGCAGUUUGCUGCAGUAACUCCCACCCAUCAGCACAGGCACAGCAUGCCAGCCCUGCCCAGGGCUCCUGCCUGCACUGAGGGACAUUGUAUGAUCCCUGUGUCAGGAAGGUAAAGAAAACAGCCCCACUUCCUCUGCACGCACAGCUGGGGCUGGAGGAGCCGAGCACUGCCUGCUGCAGGGUUUGGGCUGAGUGGCAGGAAGUGUGGCAGACAGAUGGUCGUGUGCCUGGAUGGACUGCUACAGGGAUGGACAGGCAGUUCUGUGGAUGGACGGAUGGUUACAGGGACGGACAGGCAGUUCCAGGAAGGACGGACAUUUACCUGCUGGCUGUGAGGUGUCCGUGCUGUCCCCGCUCCCAUGGCUGUGUUGCAGUGUUCCGAUGGCACAGUGAUGGCCCCGCUGCCCUGUGGGCACUGCAGUCCCACAUCACAGCCCCACAGAUCGAGGCCUGCAGGGAGCAGCCGCUGUGCGCCCGUCACAGCACGGCUCAUUUGGCCCAGAUUGAGCCAUUAAGAGCCUGAAAUGACGAAACAAUUUGUUUGUUCUCUGUAAAAAUCGCUCCAAAGAGGGAACCAUCGAUCUCUGCGGGCAGCGGAGGAGCGGGGCACGCUGCCUCCUGCCCAUCCAAAGCCCAUUUGUUUGGGGUUUAUCUGAGGAAUGGUGCCCUUUGCAAACACAGCCUGGGCUGGGCAGAUGUCAGCGCGUCACUGCUGCAUCCUCUACCGAAGGGAUGGGGCAGAUGUUCCCAAACACUGCGGGAUGAGGGUCAAUACAAGAGGAACUGUGGCUCUGUGAGAUAACAGCAGCCUCAGUGCUGCUCCUCUGAGCACAGAGAGGGGGGUGAGCCGCCCCGGGAGCACCGCAGUGUGGGGGUGGUACAGAGAGAGGUACAACUCUGUGCCUAUGUGUAAUACAGCUCUGCUUCAUAGCCCUGUGCAGCCGUACGCUCAUUCUCUGUGGCUGUACAGUUCGGCUGUGCCUUUCUGUGAACCUUCAAAGAUGGACACAGCACCCCGUGCAGCUGAGCCAUCCUCACACCCCCUUCUAUGCAGCACUGUCUGUCUCUUCAGAAACACUGUGCAUGUGCAUCUGUGUCUGCUGGGGGUGUGUAGGCACAUAUACAGGCAACAAAGUACAUCCAUCUGUGCAUAGAUACAUAUAGACUUACAUCUGUGUAUAUAGACGUACACUUACAUAUGUAUAUACAUAAUAUACAUUAUCUGUGUAC